RNAcentral lists this long non-coding RNA (226 nucleotides) under Mytilus galloprovincialis (Mediterranean mussel). The record is from RNAcentral. Lineage: Eukaryota; Metazoa; Mollusca; Bivalvia; Mytilida; Mytilidae.
CGUUUACUUUUCUACAUUGGCUAGAGGUAUAGGGGGAGGGUUGAGAUCUCAGAAACAUGUUUAUCCCCGCUGCAUUUUUGCACCUGUCCCAAGUCAGGAGCCUCUGGCCUUUGUUAGUCUUGUAUUAUUUUAAUUUUAGUUUCUUGUGUACAAUUUGGAAAUUAGUAUGGCGUUCAUUAUCACUGAACUAGUAUAUAUUUGUUUAGGGGCCAGCUGAAGGACGCCU